UAGUCUGGGAAACGUGCCUGAUGGAGGGGGAUAACUACUGGAAACGGUAGCUAAUACCGCAUAAUGUCGCAAGACCAAAGUGGGGGACCUUCGGGCCUCAUGCCAUCAGAUGUGCCCAGAUGGGAUUAGCUAGUAGGUGGGGUAAUGGCUCACCUAGGCGACGAUCCCUAGCUGGUCUGAGAGGAUGACCAGCCACACUGGAACUGAGACACGGUCCAG
RNAcentral lists this ribosomal RNA (219 nucleotides) under uncultured bacterium. RNAcentral describes it as "partial 16S ribosomal RNA". It matches the Rfam family "Bacterial small subunit ribosomal RNA", at positions 113 to 334 of the family's 1533-position model. The record is from RNAcentral.